UUCAUCAAGAGUGGCGGAGGGAACGGCCCGAUGAUACCACGACAACCUGCCGCAAGGCAAGGUGCCAAAUCCGACGAACGAAUCGAAAGAUGAGG
Molecule: non-coding RNA, 95 nt
Filed under: pig gut metagenome
Description: SAM riboswitch (S box leader)
Rfam family: SAM riboswitch aptamer (S box leader)
About the family: The SAM riboswitch is found upstream of a number of genes which code for proteins involved in methionine or cysteine biosynthesis in Gram-positive bacteria. The SAM riboswitch acts at the level of transcription termination control.
Source: RNAcentral